This 649-nucleotide ribosomal RNA is filed under the name Nemeritis sp. Jo59. RNAcentral's name for it is "eukaryotic LSU rRNA". It matches the Rfam family "Eukaryotic large subunit ribosomal RNA", at positions 420 to 820 of the family's 3401-position model. Lineage: Eukaryota; Metazoa; Arthropoda; Insecta; Hymenoptera; Ichneumonidae. The record is from RNAcentral.
CCUGAGAAACCCAAAAGUUCGAAUGGAGAGAUUCAUCGUCAGCGAUCCUGGCAAUUGUGCGGUUCGCGAUGUCGGGGACCUCGGUCCCGUGGCACGCGUCCGUAUGAUUUUUUUGCCGGGUGUCGUCGUCGUGCACUUCUCCCCUAGUAGGACGUCGCGACCCGUUGGGUGUCGGUCUACGACCCGGGUGGGAGCCUGUCAUGUGUUACGCUUCACGGCGUCAUGUGGCAGACCCCCGGUUGUCCGACCAGCUGCCCGGCGGUACUCGCACGGUAUCGAGCCGCAAUUUGAACUGCGUCCGGCCCGCCGCAAGCGAGGCCAGUGUUUCCCGGAUGUACGGACUUAGCGCCGUCACCGGGCCUGGCCAGCUGUUGGCCGGCGGUGUCCUGGGACUGGCUCUAAAUAUACCGGUCGGCGACGCUACUGCUUUGGGUACUUUCAGGACCCGUCUUGAAACACGGACCAAGGAGUCUAACAUGUGCGCGAGUCAUUGGGAUCUGUUAAGCCUAAAGGCGCAAUGAAAGUGAAGGUAGGCCUUGCGCCAACCGAGGGAGGAUGGGCCGCGUCACGAUGCGGUCCCGCACUCCCGGGGCGUCUCGUUCUCAUUGCGAGAAGAGGCGCACCCAGAGCGUACACGUUGGGACCCGAA